GAUCAUGGCUCAGGAUAACGCUGGCGGCGUGCCUAACACAUGCAAGUCGAACGAUCCCGCAAGGGAGAGUGGCGGAAGGGUGAGUAACACGUGGGAAUCUACCUCCUCGCAGGGAACAACCUCUCGAAAGAGAGGCUAAUACCCAAAAGGGUCAGAAAUGAUCAGAGUCGAAAGGCGUGAGGAGAGGAGCCCGCGGCCCAUCAGCUAGUUGGUGAGGUAAUGGCUUACCAAGGCUACGACGGGUAGGGGAUCUGAGAGGAUGUCCCCCACACUGGAACUGAAACACGGUCCAGACGCCUACGGGUGGCAGCAGUGAGGAAUAUUGGACAAUGGGCGAAAGCCCGAUCCAGCAACGCCGCGUGGAGGAUGAAGGCCUUCGGGUCGUAAACUUCUUUAGAGGGAGACGAGAAAGGACGGUAUCCCUAGAAUAAGCGACGGCAAACUACGUG
This 449-nucleotide ribosomal RNA is filed under the name uncultured bacterium. RNAcentral's name for it is "bacterial SSU rRNA". It matches the Rfam family "Bacterial small subunit ribosomal RNA", at positions 15 to 507 of the family's 1533-position model. The record is from RNAcentral.